AGGGAAGAGCCUCAGGGGUGAAUUGGGUGGGCUCCCGCCCUGACCCGGAUUGUGCAAUAGAGGACGUUGUUUUUCGCGCUUGAGACCCGAAAGCUUUGAGUUGUNGGAAAGGCAGUUCACAGAGGGUGAUAGUCCCGUAUGGGGCUGUCGGUGGAACUGCGCUUGUGAGACACGCUGGUGAGGUCGGCGUAGUUUUCGUAUUGCUGGGCGAAUUGGGGUGGUAGAUACCAUCUAAAAGCUAAAUAUACUGCCAUGUCCGAUAGCUCACAAGUACCGCGAGGGAAAGGUGAAAAGCACUUUGGAAAGAGAGUGAAACAGUGGUGAAAGGGCUAUCAGGGAAACGUUGGCUAGUCUUGUCGUCUGUCCGUCCAUGCCUCACGGCGUGGCUCGGCGAUGCGUCAGAACCCAUCGGGACCGGGAGAUACGGUACCAGAGGAAUCGGCCUUUCGGGGUGUUGCAACUCUGGAUACACACGUACUCGGCACCGAUGCGGACACAAGCAUGCAGCAAUGUUGUGCUUACUCUGACAAUAGGCUCAGUCAACGACCCGUCUUGAAACACGGACCAAGGAGUGUAUCUUGCUUGCGAGUCGAAGGGUCUGUAAACCUGGAGGCGUAGCGAAAGCGUAGACUGCGAAUCUUCGGAGGGGGCAGCGCCCGUGCUCUGCAUGAGGUGGAGCAAGUAGGAUGCGACCCGAAAAAUGGUGAACUAUGCCCGGGUAGGAUGAAGCCGGUGGAAACGCCGGUGGAGGUCCGUAGCGGUUCUGACGUGCAAAUCGAUCGUGUAACCUGGGUAUAGGGGCGAAAGACCUAUCGAACCGUCUAAUGGCUGGUUCCCCCCGAAGUUUCCCUCAGGAUAGC
Molecule: ribosomal RNA, 860 nt
Filed under: uncultured Cantharellales
Lineage: Eukaryota; Fungi; Basidiomycota; Agaricomycetes; Cantharellales
Description: eukaryotic LSU rRNA
Rfam family: Eukaryotic large subunit ribosomal RNA
Source: RNAcentral